CCGUUGGUGAACCAGCGGAGGGAUCAUUACAGAGUUUUCACAACUCCCAACCCUUUCGAACCGUACCCAUUCUUUUCUCGUUGCUUCCGGCCCGGGGGACCGGGGGGCCCGAACAGGCCUCCCCCCCCCGCCCGCCACGCGCGGCGGGCCCUCCGAACCCUUAUAUCUCCACCCCCAAAAACCGUCCGAAACAACAAACAAAAGAAUCAAAACUUUCAACAACGGAGCUCUUCGCUCUAGCAUCGAUGAAGAACCCAGCAGAUCCGAAUAACAAAC
This 276-nucleotide unclassified non-coding RNA is filed under the name plant metagenome. Its description in RNAcentral is "partial contains small subunit ribosomal RNA, internal transcribed spacer 1, and 5.8S ribosomal RNA". The record is from RNAcentral.